CGGGUGAGUAACGCGUAGGUAACCUGCCUUGUAGCGGGGGAUAACUAUUGGAAACGAUAGCUAAUACCGCAUAACAAUGGAUGACCCAUGUCAUUUAUUUGAAAGGGGCAAAUGCUCCACUACAAGAUGGACCUGCGUUGUAUUAGCUAGUAGGUGUGGUAACGGCUCACCUAGGCGACGAUACAUAGCCGACCUGAGAGGGUGAUCGGCCACACUGGGACUGAGACACGGCCCAGACUCCUACGGGAGGCAGCAUG
This 257-nucleotide ribosomal RNA is filed under the name uncultured bacterium. Its description in RNAcentral is "partial 16S ribosomal RNA". It matches the Rfam family "Bacterial small subunit ribosomal RNA", at positions 103 to 353 of the family's 1533-position model. The record is from RNAcentral.